AACGUAGGAGACAAACGUUAUCCGGAGUUACUGGGCGUAAAGGGCGUGUAGGCGGUUAGUUAAGUCUGGCGUGAAAGCUCUCGGCUCAACCGGGAGAGGUUGUCCGAUACUGCUGGACUUGAGGGCAGUAGAGGGUGGUGGAAUUCCGGGUGUAGUGGUGAAAUGCGUAGAUAUCCGGAGGAACACCAGUGGCGAAAGCGGCCACCUGGACUGCACCUGACGCUGACACGCGAAAGCUAGGGGAGCGAACGGG
RNAcentral lists this ribosomal RNA (253 nucleotides) under uncultured bacterium. Its description in RNAcentral is "partial 16S ribosomal RNA". It matches the Rfam family "Bacterial small subunit ribosomal RNA", at positions 524 to 776 of the family's 1533-position model. The record is from RNAcentral.